Molecule: unclassified non-coding RNA, 377 nt
Filed under: uncultured Moraxellaceae bacterium
Lineage: Bacteria; Pseudomonadati; Pseudomonadota; Gammaproteobacteria; Moraxellales; Moraxellaceae
Description: contains 16S-23S intergenic spacer region
Source: RNAcentral
UCCAGUUUGUCACUGGCAGUAUCCUUAAAGUUCCCAUCCGAAAUGCUGGCAAGUAAGGAAAAGGGUUGCGCUCGUUGCGGGACUUAACCCAACAUCUCACGACACGAGCUGACGACAGCCAUGCAGCACCUGUAUCUAGAUUCCCGAAGGCACCAAUCCAUCUCUGGAAAGUUUCUAGUAUGUCAAGGCCAGGUAAGGUUCUUCGCGUUGCAUCGAAUUAAACCACAUGCUCCACCGCUUGUGCGGGCCCCCGUCAAUUCAUUUGAGUUUUAGUCUUGCGACCGUACUCCCCAGGCGGUCUACUUAUCGCGUUAGCUGCGCCACUAAAGCCUCAAAGGCCCCAACGGCUAGUAGACAUCGUUUACGGCAUGGACUAC